AGUGAACGCUGGCGGUAGGCCUAACACAUGCAAGUCGAACGGCAGCACAGUAAGAGCUUGCUCUUACGGGUGGCGAGUGGCGGACGGGUGAGGAAUACAUCGGAAUCUACUUUUUCGUGGGGGAUAACGUAGGGAAACUUACGCUAAUACCGCAUACGACCUACGGGUGAAAGCAGGGGAUCUUCGGACCUUGCGCGAUUGAAUGAGCCGAUGUCGGAUUAGCUAGUUGGCGGGGUAAAGGCCCACCAAGGCGACGAUCCGUAGCUGGUCUGAGAGGAUGAGAGGCCACAGUGGAAGUGAGGCGCGGGGCAGAGACCGGCGGGAGGCAGAAGAGGGGAAGAGUGGACAAGGGGUGCAAGCCGGAUACAGACAUACCGCGUAGGUGAAGGCGGCAUGUGGGUUGUAAAGUCCUUUUGGUGGGAAAGAAAAGCAGCAGGUUAAUACCCCGCUGAACUGACGGGACCCAACAAAGAAGCACCGGCUAACUUCGUG
This 492-nucleotide ribosomal RNA is filed under the name uncultured bacterium. Its description in RNAcentral is "partial 16S ribosomal RNA". It matches the Rfam family "Bacterial small subunit ribosomal RNA", at positions 30 to 507 of the family's 1533-position model. The record is from RNAcentral.